CGGCACAUUUCACUCUCUGGUUCUCUGUGUGUGGGAACGUGGACAUGUCUGAUGUGCUAAACGAACGCUGGAGGUAAAUUAGCAGAGUGGCUGCACGGUGCCAACCCUGCCAGUCGCCUUCACACAGCC
Anguilla rostrata (American eel) is the source of this 129-nucleotide small nucleolar RNA. The record is from RefSeq and is a predicted model, not a curated record. Lineage: Eukaryota; Metazoa; Chordata; Actinopteri; Anguilliformes; Anguillidae.